UACGUAGGUGGCGAGCGUUAUCCGGAAUUACUGGGUGUAAAGGGUGAGUAGGCGGGUCUGCAAGUCAGGAGUGAAAUGUACGGGCUCAACCCGUACCGUGCUAAUGAAACUGCAGAUCUUGAGUGCGGAAGAGGUAAAUGGAAUUCCCGGUGUAGCGGUGAAAUGCGUAGAUAUCGGGAGGAACAUCUGUGGCGAAGGCGAUUUACUGGGCCGCAACUGACGCUGAUACACGAAAGCCAGGGGAGCAAACAGGAUUAGAUACCCUGGUA
This 269-nucleotide ribosomal RNA is filed under the name uncultured prokaryote. Its description in RNAcentral is "partial 16S ribosomal RNA". It matches the Rfam family "Bacterial small subunit ribosomal RNA", at positions 524 to 792 of the family's 1533-position model. The record is from RNAcentral.